UACGUAGGGUGCGAGCGUUAAUCGGAAUUACUGGGCGUAAAGCGUGCGCAGGCGGUUUUGUAAGCCAGAUGUGAAAUCCCCGGGCUCAACCUGGGAAUGGCAUUUGGGACUGCAAGGCUGGAGUUUGGCAGAGGAGACUGGAAUUCCCGGUGUAGCAGUGAAAUGCGCAGAUAUCAGGAGGAACACCUAUGGCGAAGGCAGCUCGCUGGGACGGUACUGACGCUGAGGCGCGAAAGCGUGGGGAGCGAACAGG
RNAcentral lists this ribosomal RNA (253 nucleotides) under uncultured bacterium. RNAcentral's name for it is "partial 16S ribosomal RNA". It matches the Rfam family "Bacterial small subunit ribosomal RNA", at positions 524 to 776 of the family's 1533-position model. The record is from RNAcentral.